This 301-nucleotide ribosomal RNA is filed under the name uncultured bacterium. RNAcentral describes it as "partial 16S ribosomal RNA". It matches the Rfam family "Bacterial small subunit ribosomal RNA", at positions 509 to 807 of the family's 1533-position model. The record is from RNAcentral.
CAGUAGCCGCGGUAAUACGAAGGGUGCAAGCGUUAAUCGGAAUUACUGGGCGUAAAGCGUGCGUAGGCGGUGAGUUAAGUCUGCUGUGAAAUCCCCGGGCUCAACCUGGGAAUGGCAGUGGAUACUGGCUCGCUAGAGUGUGUCAGAGGAUGGUGGAAUUCCCGGUGUAGCGGUGAAAUGCGUAGAGAUCGGGAGGAACAUCAGUGGCGAAGGCGGCCAUCUGGGACAACACUGACGCUGAGGCACGAGAGCGUGGGGAGCAAACAGGAUUAGAUACCCGAGUAGUCCCUGUCUCUUAUAC